RNAcentral lists this ribosomal RNA (511 nucleotides) under Cladosporium sp. HT1. RNAcentral's name for it is "eukaryotic LSU rRNA". The stretch from base 146 to 299 matches the Rfam family "5.8S ribosomal RNA". Lineage: Eukaryota; Fungi; Ascomycota; Dothideomycetes; Cladosporiales; Cladosporiaceae. The record is from RNAcentral.
CGGUCUACCACCGGGAUGUUCAUAACCCUUUGUUGUCCGACUCUGUUGCCUCCGGGGCGACCCUGCCUUCGGGCGGGGGCUCCGGGUGGACACUUCAAACUCUUGCGUAACUUUGCAGUCUGAGUAAACUUAAUUAAUAAAUUAAAACUUUUAACAACGGAUCUCUUGGUUCUGGCAUCGAUGAAGAACGCAGCGAAAUGCGAUAAGUAAUGUGAAUUGCAGAAUUCAGUGAAUCAUCGAAUCUUUGAACGCACAUUGCGCCCCCUGGUAUUCCGGGGGGCAUGCCUGUUCGAGCGUCAUUUCACCACUCAAGCCUCGCUUGGUAUUGGGCAUCGCGGUCCGCCGCGUGCCUCAAAUCGACCGGCUGGGUCUUCUGUCCCCUAAGCGUUGUGGAAACUAUUCGCUAAAGGGUGUUCGGGAGGCUACGCCGUAAAACAACCCCAUUUCUAAGGUUGACCUCGGAUCAGGUAGGGAUACCCGCUGAACUUAAGCAUAUCAAUAAGCGGAGGAA